CAAUAGCGUAUAUUAAAGUUGUUGCGGUUAAAAAGCUCGUAGUUGGAUUUCUGCUGAGAACGACCGGUCCGCCCUCUGGGUGUGUAUCUGGCUCUUUCUUGGCAUCUUCUUGGUGAACGUUGCUGCACUUGACUGUGUGGAGCGCUACCCAGGACUUUUACUUUGAGGAAAUUAGAGUGUUUCAAGCAGGCAUACGCCUUGAAUACAUUAGCAUGGAAUAAUAAGAUAGGACCUCGGUUCUAUUUUGUUGGUUUCUAGAGCUGAGGUAAUGAUUAAUAGGGAUAGUUGGGGGCAUUCGUAUUUAACUGUCAGAGGUGAAAUUCUUGGAUUUGUUAAAGACGGACUACCGCGAAAGCAUUUGCCAAGGAUGUUUUCAUUNA
This 380-nucleotide ribosomal RNA is filed under the name uncultured eukaryote. RNAcentral's name for it is "partial 18S ribosomal RNA". It matches the Rfam family "Eukaryotic small subunit ribosomal RNA", at positions 592 to 976 of the family's 1831-position model. The record is from RNAcentral.